Long non-coding RNA from Balaenoptera acutorostrata (minke whale), 2311 nucleotides. RefSeq lists it as uncharacterized. NCBI's taxonomy places the organism in Eukaryota, Metazoa, Chordata, Mammalia, Artiodactyla, Balaenopteridae. The record is from RefSeq and is a predicted model, not a curated record. The transcript is spliced from 4 exons.
UUUAUAUACUUGCUUUUCCCUAUUUUGAUUUUCCCUUUCCUAUGGGUUCUUGUUUCUUUUCUAUUUAGAGAAAACCUUUCAAUAUUUCUUUUAGGGUAGACUCAGUAUUGCUGUAUUCUUUUAGUUUUUGCUUGCCUGAGAAAUUCUUUAAUUUUUUCUUCUAUUCUAAAUGAUAAUCUUGCUGGGUAGAGUAUCCUAGGUUGUGGGUUUUUCCCUUUCAGGACUUUGAAUGUAUUUUGCUAUUCCCUUCUGGCCUGCAAAGUUUCUGUAGAGAAAUCAGCAAAUAGCAUUACGGGGGUUCUUUUGUAACUAACUCUUUGUUUUUCUCUUGCUGCCUUUAGAAUCCUGUCUUUAACUUCUGCCAUUUUAAUUAUGAUAUGUCUUGGUAUAGGUCUGUUUGGGUUCAUCUUGUUUGGGACCCUCUUUGCUUCCUUUACCUGGAUAUCUGCUUCAUUAGGUUUGGAAAGUUUUCAGCCAUAAUUUCUUCAAGUACAUUUUAGAUCCCCCUUUCUCUUCUCCUCCUGGGAUCCCUAUUAUGCACAGCUUGGCAUCCUUUAUAUCAGCCCAUAGGUCUUGUAUGUUGCUUUCUUUUCUUUUUUUUCAUUUGUCUUUCUGCGUGCUGUUAUGAUUGGGUGAUUUCCAUUAUUCUAUCUUCCAGAUCACUUAUUCGUUCUUCUGCAUUAUUUAGUUUGGUAUUUUAUUGCCUUUAGUUUGGUUUUCAUCUCAACAAUUGAGUUGUCUAAUUUUGAUUGGCUCCUCUUUAUUGUUUCUGUUUCCUUGUUACAGUGAUCUGCAUUUCUAUUGACAGCCUUUCUUAAUUCCUUCAGCAUUUUUAUUACCUCCUUUUUGAACGUGGAGUCUGGCAGGCUGGAGAGGUCUGUUUCAUUGUUUGUUCUUUCAGGGGAUUUCUUUUCUUUUAAUUGGGAGUGGUUCCUCUGCUUUUCCACUUAUAUUUCUUUGACUCUGAAUUUAGGGGAAACAGUUAUCUACUGUGGUCUCAAAGGGCCGUUUUUAUGUGGGAGCAUCCCUGUGUAGCCUCCAUGAGUCCAUUAUUUUUGGUGUGACGGCUGUUUUUUGGUAUGGAUGCCUGCCAUGUCUUUCCUCAGACUUAGCUGGCCAUCAUCCCCUUGAUAUGGGGUAUGAUUGGUGUUGUGAUGACCAGAGCUUGCACUGGAUGUUGGGCAGGGCCUCCUCUUUGCUCUGUGGUUGUCACAGCCCUAUCGAGAGCAGGGUCUGCUUGCCAGUUGUUGGAGUAGAAGCCCCCAGAUCCAGUUCUAAGCUGCACUGUGAGGUAGGUGGGACUGGAGCACUCCCUCUGGGAAAGGAGCUGCUCCAUAUUCCUCUCCAGGGGCUGUCCACUGGGACGGGCACUCUGUGCCAUCACCUGUUACCUAGUGCAUGUGCUCACAAAAUACACUGUUGUUGGCACUGCCCUCGGCCCUGCCUCCGCUGUGGGAAUGCUGGUAAUCAGCUCAGAUUUCAGCCCUGCUUCUGCUUGUGUGCACCCACAAAACCUGCUGCUCCUGGCACCAGACCCGCCUCAGCUGGGGAAUGCUGGUAAUCAGCUUGGAUGUCCCUCAGGCACUGCACUCACAAAGCCACUGGUAUAAAUCCACUGAAGCCGCGUACCCGACCCGUUGUAGGAGUGGCAGUAAUCUCAGAUUUCAGGGGGGUGCAUGUCUUGGGCUGGGAAGUGCAGUGAGGUGGCAAGGACUGUCUGUCCUGGUCUCUCUCUCUCCUGCCUGCCGCAAACCGGCUGCUACACUCUUCUGAGCCUCUGAAGCUCCCUAUCUGUCCCCUCUGACCUCCCAGCUGGUGAAUGUGGUUCCCAGGGUGAGGGAACUUUUUCCCUUUCACAGCUCCCUCCGAGGGGUGCAGGUCCCAUUCCAAUUACUUUUUUUCCCCCCUUUUGUCCUACCCAGUUUACAUGGUGAUCUUUCGUGCAGCUUUGGUUGUAUGAGAUCUUCUGCCAGCGUUCAAAAAGGAUCAAAACCAUUCUUGAUGUUGAAUUUCUGGAACUGUAAUAUUUAAAAAAAAAAAGGUCUUAAGAUUGAGAGAAGCCACGCUCAAGAAGUUUCAUCUACCUGGAUCUGAUUUAGAUGAUGAAAUUCCGUACUUAAGCUUGAGCCUAAUGCAGUAAUGGCAUGAAACUAAGAAUCUUGGAAGCAGAGGUAUAAAACACAUAAGAGAGCCAUAAUGAGUGUUCCAGCCCAGUCAAGCUCCUAGAUGACUAGAGGACCAGCCAACAUCAAGUGGAGCAAAACAACUGCCUACCUAAGCAAAGUCAACCCAUAGAAUCUUGAGAAAUAAU